AACGAACGCUGGCGGCAUGCCUAACACAUGCAAGUCGAACGAGACCUUCGGGUCUAGUUGCUCACGGGUGCGUCACGCGUGGGAACCUGCCCUUAGGUUCGGAAUAACUCCCCGAAAUGGGUGCUAAUACCGGAUAAUUUCUUCUGACCAAAGAUUUAUCGCCUUUGGAUGGGCCCGCGUUGGAUUAGCUUGUUGGUAGUGUAAAAGCCUACCAAGGCGACGAUCCAUAGCUGGUCUGAGAGGAUGAUCAGCCACACUGAGACUGAGACACGGCCCAGACUACUACGGGAGGCAGCAGUGGGGAAUAUUGGACAAUGGGCGAAAGCCUGAUCCAGCAAUGCCGGGUGAGUGAUGAAGGCCUUAGGGUUGUAAAGCUCUUUUACCCGGGAUGAUAAUGACAGUACCGGGAGAAUAAGCUCCGGCUAACUCCGUG
Molecule: ribosomal RNA, 433 nt
Filed under: uncultured bacterium
Lineage: Bacteria
Description: partial 16S ribosomal RNA
Rfam family: Bacterial small subunit ribosomal RNA
Source: RNAcentral